GCGAACAAACAGAGCUCUUUGGGAUUUCAACACCCAAACAUCCUGCAAUUGUUUUCAGUUCUAGUUUCAGACCUGUCCUAACCCUGUGGUGCCUGCAAGAGGUGCAUCAGGAGGGGAAUAUUGAGGGAAUGCUGCUCGGGACGUGUUUGAAGCAAUCAAAGGGUUGAAAGAUUGAUUCGGCAUGUAGAUUGGAUUUAAUUCGAAGCAGCUUUGUUCUAAUGAGGACUACUGGGAUACAAAGACGGCAGCCGCUUAUGGCCACCAGUUGGGAACUUCCACUCGCUGCAGCAACCUGUCAAGAAUUCCAAGGAACUGCCAGGGUAAAAUUGCCUGCAGGGUACGUUUGCUGGAGCCUGUUAAUUCCUCCUGAGGUCAGUGGGUACCGGGUGCUGGGCAGCACAGCCUCUCCUGACCGGGCACGGUGGGCUCCAGCUGCUUCCCAAGAGACAGGGACAGUGAUGAAGAACGUGGGAUUUCCCACAGGAAUUUGGAAGAUGCCCAUGUCUAAGACAAUGAUGAGGAUUGGGCCAAAAUCCAGCCUUGAUUCCUUCAUCCAAGUGACCCUGUGCUGACCCAUGGCUGCUGAUGGAUCGCAGCGACGCGGACCUUCCUCCCUCCAUCCCUCCUCACUGCCCUGCAUCAGAUCACCAGGAGCACCUGAAAGCACUGUGAGUAAGAGACAUAUUUUUUUUCUCACACAAGCAAUUCAUUGCAAAACUUCAGAUUUUGA
RNAcentral lists this long non-coding RNA (730 nucleotides) under Junco hyemalis (dark-eyed junco). RNAcentral describes it as "lncRNA (ENSJHYG00000012896.1)". Lineage: Eukaryota; Metazoa; Chordata; Aves; Passeriformes; Passerellidae. The record is from RNAcentral.